CUACAAACUCGUGCUAUCGCGGCAUUUAUGCCGAGGAAAGUCUGGACAGCAAAGAGCAGUUUACCGGUGAAUAACCGGGUUUCAGAUUUUUAUUUGGAAACAGAAAGUGCCACAGAAAAUAACCGCCGGCAAAAUGCAGGUAAGGGUGAAAAUGUGCGGUAAGAGCGCACAGCAAAAUGCAGUAAUGUACUUUGCGGGUAAACCUUAAACGCUGCAAUGCCACGUAUAGUUGUGUUUGAGGGCGGCUCGUCCGAUGCUUCGGCAACACAACAGGGUAGGCAGCAACACCAAAACAGUAAUGUUUUGGGCAGAUAAAUGAUAGCAUAGAAACAGAAUCCGGCUUACGAGGUUUGUAGCUUU
Molecule: RNase P RNA, 360 nt
Filed under: Arachidicoccus soli
Lineage: Bacteria; Pseudomonadati; Bacteroidota; Chitinophagia; Chitinophagales; Chitinophagaceae
Description: Bacterial RNase P class A
Rfam family: Bacterial RNase P class A
About the family: Ribonuclease P (RNase P) is a ubiquitous endoribonuclease, found in archaea, bacteria and eukarya as well as chloroplasts and mitochondria. Its best characterised activity is the generation of mature 5'-ends of tRNAs by cleaving the 5'-leader elements of precursor-tRNAs.
Source: Rfam by way of RNAcentral